GUGGGCGGAGACCUUUUAACAUCCACCCCCGCGAUUGGGCGACGCGCCGUGGCUCGCGCGGCCACUGGCCCGACUCGCUGUCAAUCAAGCUUCGUCGCCGCUUCCCGCGCCAUUCGACGUGCACGCGCGGAAGGGAACGCGCACGUCGCCGCUCUGAGACUGUCUGGAGUGUGUCUGAAAUUGACAAAAUAGGACACGGAUUUCUCCCCCCCCCGAGCUUUACCCAUUUUCUAGCUCGACUCCUUUCACCGAGGACACCUGGCCGUGGAAUGUGGAAUUUUAUUUCACUGCCACUGGACUGUGGUUUUGUGCGAAAUGGUAUUUUUGGUGGCGAAGGAGGAAGAGACGUGAAAGUUUGGUGCGUCAGCAGAUUUCGCUGAAUGCACUGACAGGUAGGAGGGUCUGCGUGUUGCGUUCAGGGUUCAUGGAAAGAGCAGCGCUGCAGCAACCAUGGAGAAAAGGAAAAGCCGGCGUGUUCGCUGGAACGGGCAUCGCUCGGCAUCUACCUGGCCCCGGCCUUCCUUACGUCUGAUGGGACCAGCUCGUUUCUGAGAAACAAACUCAGUGCUCCCACUAAUUCAACGUAAUGUGCAGAGAGCUGGGAGAAGGCUUGGAGAAAGAUGUCAUGCGCGGGAUGGGCUGCUGCGCGUGCCGAUGCUCUCGCCACCGUGGCAGCAGCAGCAGAAGCAGCAGCAGCAGCAGCAGCACCGAGCUCCCGCUUUGUGCUUCUCUCAUGCAGCCGUGAUGCAGAAGCACCAGGUGAGUGGCGACAACCUACCGACUCUGAUCCAUCCUUGACCCUCACUCGCCAAAUGGCCACAACUUUUCUACAUUUUCAUUUGUAAAACAAAAGCAAGAAACGAUCCAUGUGGGAGAGCGUUUAACCACAAACAUGCUCCACUUUUCCACCCCCACCAAAAUACUUUCCAGAAAGUAAAUGCAAUGUUUAUCAUGCUAACAUCAACACAUGACAAUGCUUCACUAUUGUUAUGAUAACAACAACAACAAUAAUGAUGAUAAUGACCACACUAACAAUAAUAACAAUCAUAAUGUCUAUUAUGGCCAGGCAGGUAGGCAGGUAGGCAGGUAGGCAGGCAGGCAGCCAGCCAGCCAGCCAGCCAGCCAGCCAGCCAGCCAGCCAGCCAGCCAGCCAGCCAGCCAGCCAGCCAGGCACCAGCGCCCUGCCCUGCCCUGCCCUGCCCUGCCCUGCCCUGCCCUGCCCUGGCCGGCCAUACUUGAGAGAUCAAGGGUUACCAAGGUGCUUGCCGGAACCCGGGCCUCAAUGCCAGCCACAAAAUACUCAUUUCCUUUGCACGCUAGCUUGUUGGAGUGGGGAUUCAGUCGGGGUCACCGACACGGGUUUGUUCCCCCCCCCGUUUCCGUCUCGAAUGCAAACAA
Molecule: long non-coding RNA, 1398 nt
Organism: Syngnathus typhle (broad-nosed pipefish)
Lineage: Eukaryota; Metazoa; Chordata; Actinopteri; Syngnathiformes; Syngnathidae
Exons: 5
Source: RefSeq, a predicted model, not a curated record